Molecule: small RNA, 545 nt
Filed under: Rattus norvegicus (Norway rat)
Lineage: Eukaryota; Metazoa; Chordata; Mammalia; Rodentia; Muridae
Description: uncharacterized LOC108352349
Source: RNAcentral
AACUGAGAGAUCUGUUUGCCUCAGUCUCCUAGGAUUAAAGGCAUAUACUAUGUUGCCUGGGCCUAAGCGUUUCAUGGUCACUGUGCCUCAAGAUCUGGAUCGAAAGCCUGUGUCAUCCUGUGUCAAGAUCCCAGUCAGAAGCCUGUGUCCUCCAGUCAAGAUCUGGAUCACAGCUGUGCCCUCCAUUUCUGGAUUGCUGCUCAUUCCAUUUGUAGUCAAGGUGACAACCGCCGGGAUAGCCUUCACACCAAGCAUGGUGACAUAGACUCACUGGCAUCUGUGUGGAGGCUCACCUGUAAUCCCAGAAGUUGGAGACAGGAGGACUGCUACGAGUUCAAGGCCAUCCUGGGUCGUAGAUAUCCCAUGGCUACCUGAGAUGUCAGUGUGAAAUGAAACUAUGCUACAGUCUCUCCUCCCUUCAAAUGUCCUCUCACAGAUGCCUCCCCUGUGGAGACACCAGGCAUGUCUUGGAUCCAUCUAGGACUCUCCCUGAACUGCUGAACUCCCAGCAUGCAGCAGUCCCAAGAGCAGAAUAAGACAAAAAA